This 1857-nucleotide unclassified non-coding RNA is filed under the name Homarus americanus (American lobster). RNAcentral describes it as "protein AMN1 homolog, transcript variant X3". The record is from RNAcentral. Lineage: Eukaryota; Metazoa; Arthropoda; Malacostraca; Decapoda; Nephropidae.
ACUAACAUUCUUCCUCUUGCUGCCUUUGGUCGUUGUGACGUCACGCAAUACAAUAAGUUGUCGUGCAGUAAGAGUGUUAUCCCGGACGACCAUAUAUGUUAAUACUGUGAAGUUGUUUGGUGUUGAUGUGUCAUGGCCGCCAGUGAUGGUGUGUGACGUACGGGGAGUCAGUAUGUGGUGAUGAUGCAAGACACUUCAGGAACUUUUUCAAUCCCAAAUUAAGACUCAUGAUUCAGGGAAGUACAUCACGUCCUAUUAUGCAGCCUCAGACUCUUCAGGAGCUGUGUCUGGAUGAGGCUUGCUUGAUACCCACAGACUCCUACACAAGACUACCAUGGACUUUAAAGGACCAGCUCUUAAAAAAAUUAACCAGAAGAGGCAAAUGCACUGAUGAUAUUUUUUCUUGGCUUAUUCAUUCACGUGUUACUGAACUUGAAUACCAUAUUCCAUGAAAAUGUCAAUUGUAGCAGCAUUAUUUACAAAAACAUGUUGAAUGGCUUGCAAUUCUGAGAAAGAGCAUCCUUUGCACAAAGAAGCCAUCUUGCAACUGACAAAUUUCAAUUCAAAAGCCUGAGCAUGCACUGGAGUAUAACAUGACACCGAGACUUUCGCUGAUUGGCUGGACAUAAUAAUGAAAUUUGCAUGCCUGUUUAAUCUCAGAUGCUGGGGUGGAGUACCUGAAGACAACAAAGUGUUUGAAAGUUUUGUAUAUGCCUGAACCACCAGUUGUUGAGAACAAUAAUUUUUCAGAGAAUUCACUGAUGGGACUAGGUGAAGGAAAAUCAAUGUUAAGAGUGGUUGCACUUAAUGGUCUUUGUGGAGUGACAGAUGGUGUCAUUGGAUCACUGGUAGGAGGAUGUCCUCAGCUGCAGGAAGUACACAUCUCAUCCACAAGUAUUACCAACCAUGCUCUUACUGCUCUAGCAAAUCUAACACAGCUUGUCUGCUUGAAUAUUGGCAAAACACAGAUAAGUGACAUAGGUAUUCAGCAGUUAGUGAGUGGAGGUGUUGGCCAAAGUCUGCGAGAGCUGCGUAUUGAUGGUUGUGUGCGACUUACUGAUGACAGCAUUGAAUCAAUUUGUCAUUGUUGCACUCAUCUCAACAUUCUGUGUUUCCAUCACUGCCCAAGACUGUCAGAUCGUUCUCGAGAGCUAGUGGAUGAAUAUAAGGCCUGGAGGAUGAAGCAGCUCACUUGGACAGUGUACUGAUAUGUCUGUGAUACUCAUACUGGAGAAACAAUUUAACAUUCUUGCAGCUGUCUUACACUGCUGUCUUUUUUUUAAUAUCAACCAUGUGGGGCACCACAGUUCAGUUGGCAGUACUCUUGGCCCACAACUCAAGAAACAUGGAAUCAGUCCCAUGGCCAGAGAGUUGGUAGGGCAUUAUUAACUGUGUGUGCUGAGCUGGCCACUCACCAUAUCAAGUCCCCAAGAUAAGCUAACUUUAGGGGAUGUUAUCCCAUAUAGUGUGGGAAAUGGAAAUGUUAGCUUUAGCAUUUCAGUUCUCUUUUCUGGUUCUUUAGAUUUAUUAAUCUCUGACAAUGCAAAUCCUGACUUAAUCGCUCACUGACUGACAGAAGUAUUUGACCGACCCGUGUUGACAUAGCUUGUGACCAAUUCUUGAUCUUUCUUCUUAGAUGAAUAUAAUGAAGUAUGAUUACUUACUACAGUACAGUACUUAGUAACAUAUUAUCAUUUAUCUUUAAUAUGUGACAUAGUAAGCACCAACAGUGUGUUUAUUGUCUUGGGCCACCACAACAACUACAUGUACAGUCACUCAUAAAAGUAAUGGGCCCCCUUGGGUGAGAGGUCUUGCAACUGGAAGCAGUUCAGUUCUGGUAACAGUGUACCUGAUGCA